GACGAACGCUGGCGGCGUGCUUAACACAUGCCAGUCGAACGGAAAGGCCCUGCUUUUGUGGGGUGCUCGAGUGGCGAACGGGUGAGUAACACGUGAGUAACCUGCCCUUGACUUUGGGAUAACUUCAGGAAACUGGGGCUAAUACCGGAUAGGAGCUCCUGCUGCAUGGUGGGGGUUGGAAAGUUUCGGCGGUUGGGGAUGGACUCGCGGCUUAUCAGCUUGUUGGUGGGGUAGUGGCUUACCAAGGCUUUGACGGGUAGCCGGCCUGAGAGGGUGACCGGCCACAUUGGGACUGAGAUACGGCCCAGACUCCUACGGGGGGCAGCAGUGGGGAAUAUUGCACAAGGGGCGGAAGCCUGAUGCAGCAACGCCGCGUGCGGGAUGACGGCCUUCGGGUGGGAAACCGCUUUCGCCUGUGACGAAGCGUGAGUGACGGUAAUGGGUAAAGAAGCACCGGCUAACUACGU
RNAcentral lists this ribosomal RNA (467 nucleotides) under uncultured bacterium. Its description in RNAcentral is "partial 16S ribosomal RNA". It matches the Rfam family "Bacterial small subunit ribosomal RNA", at positions 28 to 506 of the family's 1533-position model. The record is from RNAcentral.